Molecule: transfer RNA, 73 nt
Filed under: Sus scrofa (pig)
Lineage: Eukaryota; Metazoa; Chordata; Mammalia; Artiodactyla; Suidae
Rfam family: tRNA
About the family: Transfer RNA (tRNA) molecules are approximately 80 nucleotides in length. Their secondary structure includes four short double-helical elements and three loops (D, anti-codon, and T loops). Further hydrogen bonds mediate the characteristic L-shaped molecular structure. tRNAs have two regions of fundamental functional importance: the anti-codon, which is responsible for specific mRNA codon recognition, and the 3' end, to which the tRNAs corresponding amino acid is attached (by aminoacyl-tRNA synthetases). tRNAs cope with the degeneracy of the genetic code in two manners: having more than one tRNA (with a specific anti-codon) for a particular amino acid; and 'wobble' base-pairing, i.e. permitting non-standard base-pairing at the 3rd anti-codon position.
Source: Rfam by way of RNAcentral
UCCCUGGUGGUCUAGUGGUUGAGGAUUCAGCAUUGUCACUGCUGUGGCUUGGGUUUGAUUGCUGGCCUGGGAA